GAUGAACGCUGGCGGCGUGCCUAAUACAUGCAAGUCGAGCGAACAGAUGAGGAGCUUGCUCCUCUGACGUUAGCGGCGGACGGGUGAGUAACACGUGGAUAACCUACCUAUAAGACUGGGAUAACUUCGGGAAACCGGAGCUAAUACCGGAUAAUAUAUUGAACCGCAUGGUUCAAUAGUGAAAGACGGUUUUGCUGUCACUUAUAGAUGGAUCCGCGCCGCAUUAGCUAGUUGGUAAGGUAACGGCUUACCAAGGCAACGAUGCGUAGCCGACCUGAGAGGGUGAUCGGCCACACUGGAACUGAGACACGGUCCAGACUCCUACGGGAGGCAGCAGUAGGGAAUCUUCCGCAAUGGGCGAAAGCCUGACGGAGCAACGCCGCGUGAGUGAUGAAGGUCUUCGGAUCGUAAAACUCUGUUAUUAGGGAAGCACAAAUGUGUAAGUAACUAUGCACGUCUUGACGGUACCUAAUCAGAAAGCCACGGCUAACUACGUG
RNAcentral lists this ribosomal RNA (497 nucleotides) under uncultured bacterium. RNAcentral describes it as "partial 16S ribosomal RNA". It matches the Rfam family "Bacterial small subunit ribosomal RNA", at positions 28 to 507 of the family's 1533-position model. The record is from RNAcentral.